UCUCGGGUGACGAGUGGCGGACGGGUGAGUAAUGUCUGGGAAACUGCCUGAUGGAGGGGGAUAACUACUGGAAACGGUAGCUAAUACCGCAUAACGUCGCAAGACCAAAGAGGGGGACCUUCGGGCCUCUUGCCAUCAGAUGUGCCCAGAUGGGAUUAGCUAGUAGGUGGGGUAACGGCUCACCUAGGCGACGAUCCCUAGCUGGUCUGAGAGGAUGACCAGCCACACUGGAACUGAGACACGGUCCAGACUCCUACGGGAGGCAGCAGUGGGGAAUAUUGCACAAUGGGCGCAAGCCUGAUGCAGCCAUGCCGCGUGUAUGAAGAAGGCCUUCGGGUUGUAAAGUACUUUCAGCGGGGAGGAAGGUGUUGUGGUUAAUAACCGCAGCAAUUGACGUUACCCGCAGAAGAAGCACCGGCUAACUCCGUGCCAGCAGCCGCGGUAAUACGGAGGGUGCAAGCGUUAAUCGGAAUUACUGGGCGUAAAGCGCACGCAGGCGGUCUGUCAAGUCGGAUGUGAAAUCCCCGGGCUCAACCUGGGAACUGCAUUCGAAACUGGCAGGCUAGAGUCUUGUAGAGGGGGGUAGAAUUCCAGGU
RNAcentral lists this ribosomal RNA (596 nucleotides) under Enterobacter ludwigii. RNAcentral's name for it is "bacterial SSU rRNA". It matches the Rfam family "Bacterial small subunit ribosomal RNA", at positions 82 to 674 of the family's 1533-position model. Lineage: Bacteria; Pseudomonadati; Pseudomonadota; Gammaproteobacteria; Enterobacterales; Enterobacteriaceae. The record is from RNAcentral.